Molecule: ribosomal RNA, 777 nt
Filed under: Nocardioides sp. Sm4
Lineage: Bacteria; Bacillati; Actinomycetota; Actinomycetes; Propionibacteriales; Nocardioidaceae
Description: bacterial SSU rRNA
Rfam family: Bacterial small subunit ribosomal RNA
Source: RNAcentral
CCUUCGGGGUACUCGAGCGGCGAACGGGUGAGUAACACGUGAGUAAUCUGCCCCAGGCUCUGGGAUAGCCACCGGAAACGGUGAUUAAUACCGGAUACGACAACCGAUUGCAUGAUCUGGUUGUGGAAAGUUUUUCGGCCUGGGAUGUGCUCGCGGCCUAUCAGCUUGUUGGUGAGGUAAUGGCUCACCAAGGCUUCGACGGGUAGCCGGCCUGAGAGGGUGACCGGCCACACUGGGACUGAGACACGGCCCAGACUCCUACGGGAGGCAGCAGUGGGGAAUAUUGGACAAUGGGCGGAAGCCUGAUCCAGCAACGCCGCGUGAGGGAUGACGGCCUUCGGGUUGUAAACCUCUUUCAGCACAGACGAAGCGCAAGUGACGGUAUGUGCAGAAGAAGGACCGGCCAACUACGUGCCAGCAGCCGCGGUAAUACGUAGGGUCCGAGCGUUGUCCGGAAUUAUUGGGCGUAAAGGGCUCGUAGGCGGUCUGUCGCGUCGGGAGUGAAAACCAGGUGCUUAACACCUGGCCUGCUUCCGAUACGGGCAGACUAGAGGUACUCAGGGGAGAAUGGAAUUCCUGGUGUAGCGGUGAAAUGCGCAGAUAUCAGGAGGAACACCGGUGGCGAAGGCGGUUCUCUGGGAGUAUCCUGACGCUGAGGAGCGAAAGUGUGGGGAGCGAACAGGAUUAGAUACCCUGGUAGUCCACACCGUAAACGUUGGGCGCUAGGUGUGGGAUCCAUUCCACGGGUUCCGUGCCGCAGCUAACGCAUUAAGCGCC